RNAcentral lists this transfer RNA (72 nucleotides) under Propionibacteriales bacterium. It matches the Rfam family "tRNA". Rfam says of the family: Transfer RNA (tRNA) molecules are approximately 80 nucleotides in length. Their secondary structure includes four short double-helical elements and three loops (D, anti-codon, and T loops). The record is from Rfam by way of RNAcentral. Lineage: Bacteria; Bacillati; Actinomycetota; Actinomycetes; Propionibacteriales.
AGGUGCGAGGUGUCAACGGCUGCACGCCGGUCUCCAAAACCGGAGGAGCGGGUUCGAGUCCUGCCGCGUCUG